Molecule: ribosomal RNA, 509 nt
Filed under: Scheffersomyces ergatensis
Lineage: Eukaryota; Fungi; Ascomycota; Pichiomycetes; Serinales; Debaryomycetaceae
Description: eukaryotic LSU rRNA
Rfam family: Eukaryotic large subunit ribosomal RNA
Source: RNAcentral
AAAUCUGGCGCCUUCGGUGUCCGAGUUGUAAUUUGAAGAAGGUAACUUUGGUUUUGGCUCUUGUCUAUGUUCCUUGGAACAGGACGUCACAGAGGGUGAGAAUCCCGUGCGAUGAGAUGCCCAAUUCCAUGUAAAGUGCUUUCGAAGAGUCGAGUUGUUUGGGAAUGCAGCUCUAAGUGGGUGGUAAAUUCCAUCUAAAGCUAAAUAUUGGCGAGAGACCGAUAGCGAACAAGUACAGUGAUGGAAAGAUGAAAAGAACUUUGAAAAGAGAGUGAAAAAGUACGUGAAAUUGUUGAAAGGGAAGGGCUUGAGAUCAGACUUGGUAUUUUGUAUGUCUUGCUUUCGGGUAGGGCCUCUGCAGUUUAUCGGGCCAGCAUCAGUUUGGAUGGUAGGAUAAUGACAUUGGAACGUAGCACUGCUUCGGUGGUGUGUUAUAGACUUUGUUGAUACUGCCUGUCUAGACUGAGGACUGCGUCUUUGACUAGGAUGCUGGCAUAAUGAUCCUAAGC